AUUUAUGGAGAGUUUGAUCCUGGCUCAGGACGAACGCUGGCGGCGUGCUUAACACAUGCAAGUCGAACGGAGUAUUAGCGAGAAGUUUACUUUUUGCUAAUACUUAGUGGCGGACGGGUGAGUAACGCGUGGAUAACCUGCCUAUUAGCCUGGGAUAACGCCUGGAAACGGGUGCUAAUACCGGAUACGCUCAUUGUGCUGCAUAACAUAAUGAGGAAAAGGCUACUGCUAAUAGAUGGGUCCGCGUCCCAUUAGCUUGUUGGUAGGGUAACGGCCUACCAAGGCGACGAUGGGUAGCCGGCCUGAGAGGGCGAUCGGCCACACUGGAACUGAGACACGGUCCAGACUCCUACGGGAGGCAGCAGUGGGGAAUCUUCCGCAAUGGGCGAAAGCCUGACGGAGCAACGCCGCGUGAGUGAUGAAGGCCUUCGGGUUGUAAAACUCUGUCCAGGGGGAAGAAACAAAUGACGGUACCCCUGGAGGAAGCCCCGGCUAACUACGUGCCAGCAGCCGCGGUAAAACGUAGGGGGCAAGCGUUGUCCGGAAUUACUGGGCGUAAAG
Molecule: ribosomal RNA, 561 nt
Filed under: Peptococcaceae bacterium BRH_c8a
Lineage: Bacteria; Bacillati; Bacillota; Clostridia; Eubacteriales; Peptococcaceae
Description: bacterial SSU rRNA
Rfam family: Bacterial small subunit ribosomal RNA
Source: RNAcentral